AUACGGAGGGUGCAAGCGUUAUCCGGAUUUAUUGGGUUUAAAGGGUGCGUAGGCGGUUUGAUAAGUCAGCGGUGAAAUAUUUCAGCUUAACUGGAAGGGUGCCGUUGAUACUGUCAGGCUUGAAUUUAGUUGCUGUGGGUGGAAUGUGUGGUGUAGCGGUGAAAUGCAUAGAUAUAACACAGAACACCAAUUGCGAAGGCAGCUUACUGGGAUACAACUGACGCUGAGGCACGAAAGCGUGGGGAUC
RNAcentral lists this ribosomal RNA (247 nucleotides) under uncultured bacterium. RNAcentral describes it as "partial 16S ribosomal RNA". It matches the Rfam family "Bacterial small subunit ribosomal RNA", at positions 523 to 769 of the family's 1533-position model. The record is from RNAcentral.